GGAGCAGCUUGGUAGCUCGUCGGGCUCAUAACCCGAAGGUCGUCGGUUCAAAUCCGGCC
This 59-nucleotide transfer RNA is filed under the name Escherichia coli. Its description in RNAcentral is "tRNA-Met". It matches the Rfam family "tRNA", at positions 9 to 63 of the family's 71-position model. Rfam says of the family: Transfer RNA (tRNA) molecules are approximately 80 nucleotides in length. Their secondary structure includes four short double-helical elements and three loops (D, anti-codon, and T loops). Further hydrogen bonds mediate the characteristic L-shaped molecular structure. tRNAs have two regions of fundamental functional importance: the anti-codon, which is responsible for specific mRNA codon recognition, and the 3' end, to which the tRNAs corresponding amino acid is attached (by aminoacyl-tRNA synthetases). tRNAs cope with the degeneracy of the genetic code in two manners: having more than one tRNA (with a specific anti-codon) for a particular amino acid; and 'wobble' base-pairing, i.e. permitting non-standard base-pairing at the 3rd anti-codon position. RNAcentral also lists the same sequence under 6 other names. Lineage: Bacteria; Pseudomonadati; Pseudomonadota; Gammaproteobacteria; Enterobacterales; Enterobacteriaceae. The record is from RNAcentral.